This 482-nucleotide ribosomal RNA is filed under the name uncultured bacterium. Its description in RNAcentral is "partial 16S ribosomal RNA". It matches the Rfam family "Bacterial small subunit ribosomal RNA", at positions 30 to 507 of the family's 1533-position model. The record is from RNAcentral.
AUUGAACGCUGGCGGCAUGCCUUACACAUGCAAGUCGAACGGUAACAGGUCUUCGGAUGCUGACGAGUGGCGAACGGGUGAGUAAUACAUCGGAACGUGCCCGAUCGUGGGGGAUAACGAAGCGAAAGCUUUGCUAAUACCGCAUAAGAUCUACGGAUGAAAGCAGGGGACCGCAAGGCCUUGCGCGAACGGAGCGGCCGGUGGCAGAUUAGGUAGUUGGUGGGAUAAAAGCUUACCAAGCCGACGAUCUGUAGCUGGUCUGAGAGGACGACCAGCCACACUGGGACUGAGACACGGCCCAGACUCCUACGGGAGGCAGCAGUGGGGAAUUUUGGACAAUGGGCGAAAGCCUGAUCCAGCCAUGCCGCGUGCAGGAUGAAGGCCUUCGGGUUGUAAACUGCUUUUGUACGGAACGAAAAGACUCUGGUUAAUACCUGGGGUCCAUGACGGUACCGUAAGAAUAAGCACCGGCUAACUACGUG